GGGUCACUAAAUAUUUGUAAUCUUGUUAGCAUAAUUUUUUUCUCACGUAUUCUUCUUUUAUUUAUAAAAAUUAGUAGUUAUCUAUAAAUAUUUUUUAUGAUGAAAAUAAUAGCAUCACAAAUAUCUUACGGUCACUAAAAUUCUUAAUUUUUAUGAUGAAAUAUAUUGGAUUAUUGAUUAUUCAUGUUUUUGGUUAUUUAAAUUUCUCA
This 209-nucleotide long non-coding RNA is filed under the name Elaeis guineensis (African oil palm). RNAcentral's name for it is "long non-coding RNA (EGUI_LNC012358)". The record is from RNAcentral. Lineage: Eukaryota; Viridiplantae; Streptophyta; Magnoliopsida; Arecales; Arecaceae.